RNAcentral lists this ribosomal RNA (274 nucleotides) under uncultured bacterium. RNAcentral describes it as "partial 16S ribosomal RNA". It matches the Rfam family "Bacterial small subunit ribosomal RNA", at positions 523 to 796 of the family's 1533-position model. The record is from RNAcentral.
AUACGGAGGAUGCGAGCGUUAUCCGGAUUCAUUGGGUUUAAAGGGAGCGUAGGCGGAAUAAUAAGUCAGGGGUGAAAGUUUGCGGCUCAACCGUAAAAUUGCCUUUGAUACUGUUAUUCUUGAGUACACGCGAGGUAUGCGGAAUGUGAUGUGUAGCGGUGAAAUGCUUAGAUAUAUCACAGAACACCGAUUGCGAAGGCAGCAUACUAGAGUGUCACUGACGCUGAUGCGCGAAAGCGUGGGUAUCGAACAGGAUUAGAAACCCCUGUAGUCC